Odocoileus virginianus texanus is the source of this 862-nucleotide RNA transcript. It is a transcript of the gene named mitochondrial ribosomal protein L42, with no coding region annotated. The record is from RefSeq and is a predicted model, not a curated record. Lineage: Eukaryota; Metazoa; Chordata; Mammalia; Artiodactyla; Cervidae.
GCCAGGAAGGCACGUGGAGCUGUGCUGCCUAGAGCCCGGACUGAGGCAAGAUGGCGGGUUUGCGGUGAGCUGCAGUUCAGGAGUGAAGAUUGUUGUAUCUAGAAGCCGAUUUUAAAAGCAGUUUCUCUUCAGAUCAUCUUUAUACCACCUGAUAAGCAUUUUGAUUCACCAUGGCAUUGGCAGCAGUAAAAUGGGCAAUAUCAAGCAGAACUAUCUUGAAACAUUUAUUUCCAAUUCAAAACGGAGCCUUAUAUUGUGUUGGUCACAAAUCUACGUAUUCUUCUCUUCCAGAUGACUAUAAUUGCAAAGUAGAGCUUGCUCUGACAUCUGAUGCCAGGACAAUAGUAUGCUAUCACCCUUCUGUGGACAUUCCAUAUGAACACACAAAACCUAUCCCUCGGCCAGAUCCAGUGCAUAACAAUGAAGAAACACAUGAUCUAGUACUGAAAAGCAGAUUAGAAGAAAAAAGUGAACACUUAGAGCAAGGACCCAUGAUAGAACAACUCAGUAAAAUGUUCUUUACUACUAAGCACCGUUGGUAUCCUCGUGGACAGAUUACUAGGCACUUUCAGUUCUAAGAAGACUUUAAUUAGAUGCAGUUGAUUAUCCCAGGAUCUCUCCUAAUAAAGAGUUCAACAGAAAAACUCCAGAUGCUAGCUUGUGUGUACAAAGAAAAGUUUUACCUGUAUCAUAGACGUCGUAGGAAACUGAAUCCUCCAAAAGACAGAUGAUAUUGAUGUUUUUAGGAAUCAAAGAGGAAUGCUACCCUGGAUCUCAUUUGCCUUUUGAGAAGAUACAAUUGGGUAUAUUCACUAAUAUGUUAUAUAGUAAAAUAAUAAUAAAACAUCUUUUCAUAUAUUAA